CUCACUUAUGUGCUUUUGCCUCUUAGAAACUUGAUGUUAGAGUUGCAAGCGGCCAAGCAAGAUGUUUGAGGAGUAGAUCAUUGUCGCACAACUAUUGUUGCGAAAAUUGGUGCGGGAUCUCCUUAUGGCCCAUGCUAAUCCCAUGAGGUUGAAGUACCUUGCAAAUUGCUUUGAAUCCUCAUUCAGAAACAUCUUGUUUGCAAGUAGCUACUUGUCAUUUGUGAAAUGCGAAAACGAUCUAUGAAAGAAUGUUUAACAAAGACAGGUAAUGAAAUUCGUGCAUUGGCCUUGAGUCACAAGGAACACAAUAAUUGUUUCUACUUAGGCACACCAUGAAGAAAUCAUCCAAAAUCUUUAUAAAUCAUAUUUAGUUACUAUGAAGGAAUUAUGCAUUUGAGAAUUAUCAGGUACCGAGGAUUGGUUUUUUUUUUCUUGCCUAUUUUUUUCCUAAUGAUUUACUUUAUGCUUGCCAUAUUUCAACCAAGUAUAUGCUACUCAACAAAGGUGGAACGAGUAAGGGUCAAUUUAGUUAGUUUUGCUUCAUGAGAUGGAUUUAAUACGAAAGGUAUGACUCACUGGAAAAUAGCUUUCUAAUUGAGGAUCGAAACAUAUUUUAUAGCAUAUACAUACAAUGAAUCCUUUAAACUUAACUACUUUUUGUUUAUGCUUUAUGUGCAUGCAUUAUGGUAAACUUUUAAAAAAAUCCCUUGAUUUUCUUGUAGUUGAAUUAUUUUUCAUGUUUUUGAAUGGUGAGUUUAACAUUUAUUUUAGGAUUGUUCCACUUUAUAAAAGGGUUUCUAUUGAUCAUAUCCCAAUACCUUCAUCUCCUUACACACCAUAUUUGUAUUUCUUUCUCAAAGCUCCAAGUGUCAUGCUCCAAGGGUGUGUGUGAAAGCCAAGAAUUUGAACAUAUCCUUAUGAGAUGUGGCAGAUGUUCGUUGGAGCUUUUAUCUUAAAUUCAUUAUAAUCCCUAUCUAUAUAUAAAAGAUAUGUAUUGUGUAUGGGGAAUGGAGAACUGUGGAAAAAGGCUUACAAUGUACUUGAGCUCUCUCGCAAAUAGGUGAUUUGCGAAGAGAAAUACUUAAAUAUUUUGGGAAGCCAACGACAACAAAUUCCCCAAAACAAACUUGGUGAUGAAUGAGUCCCACCUUCUUUUGAAAUCAAAUCCAUAUAUGAGGUCAGGUAUGGGUAUCUACUACAUAUUCGAGAUGAAAGGAAGAAAUGGAAAGAAGGCAAGAAUGUCUCAAGGGAUAGCCUCUACAAGUUGCAUCAAUCGAGAAGUCAUCAAUGACAUUGUCAUUGAUUUCCCACAAGAGUGUGACAAUAUGGUGGCACUCCCCUUCCUGUUCCCCAUGAACCCUAUGUUUAGUAAAGAUAAUAAAUAAUUAGUUAGGGUUGAAUUUUUUGAAAACCUUAGUGUAAGAAAUCAAUUAUGAAGUCUCAUAGGCACUAAACAAUGUAAGAUAAUAGUUAUUUUGUGCCUAUGGUGCUUCACAAUUAUUUUCUUACAUUUAGGAAGGUUUUUAAAACUCCAAUCUAACUAAUUAUGCACUACCUUCACUAAACAUGGGGUUCAUGAGAGAACCAGGCGGGGAAAUACCAACCAAACUGCUGUACUCUUAUAUGAAAUUAAUGAUAAAGGGUGUGUCAUCAAUGACUUCUCCAUUGUUGCCGCUUGUAGAGGCCAUCCCUUGAGACACUCUUUUCUUCUUUCCUGUUCUUCCUUCCAUCUCGAAUAUGUAGCACACUUCCAUACCUAACCUCACAAAUGGAUUUGAUUUCAAAGAAACGUGAAACUCAUUCAUCACCAAAUUUGUUAUGGUGAAUUUGUUGUUGUCUUCCCAAAAUAAGUAAUCAUUCUUCUUUACAAUUACUUGUAUGGGGUUUUCCUUAAUGAGAUCAUAUUUUGAAGUUAUUUCUUAUAGGUGUAAUUUUAGGGAUUUUCUCAAUCUUUUAUGUCGGUAAAUUUAUCAUUUUAAUUUAUGAAUUUAAUUUUAAUAUAUGUUUAUCUUUAUCUUUACAAUAAUAAAAAGAAAAAUGCAAAUUUUUUCCA
Molecule: long non-coding RNA, 2053 nt
Organism: Cajanus cajan (pigeon pea)
Lineage: Eukaryota; Viridiplantae; Streptophyta; Magnoliopsida; Fabales; Fabaceae
Source: RefSeq, a predicted model, not a curated record